GAGAUCACUAGAAGAAUGAAAUCAGUAGCCAGAACCCUGAGAAAGAAGAUGCAGCUUGCAGCAACCAUGUGAUGAACGCCAGGACGACCGAAAGCGCGAACUGCCGGCAGGCCAGCCGCGAAUAUGCGUUGCAUAAGUUCACAUCCCACAUGAAUAAAAUUGUCAGGCUCGCGGAGGCACAGGAUCCGGAGAACAUGAAAAUCGCCACGACCUGCAAUGCAUUCACAAUUGAUGUGUUCACUCAUAUUGACCUUUGCUAGCUCAAGAUUCCAAGAACUGCUCGAGUAGAAAAAUGAUUUCACUGGGUUUUUUUUUUUUGCAGGGUAAGAUAUUUGGACUGUGCUUGUGAGAUGUAACAACUUUUGGCUGACAGAAAUGACAGCCAUUAGUUCUACUUCUAACAGGGAAAAAGAACCUUCGAUAAACUAUACCGUUGGUUAACCAAUAAGUCAUGCAAAGCAUAUUUGUUAUUAAUUCUUGCUCAAAUGGAUGAUUCGUUGGCAAAGUUCGAUGGAGCAAGAACAAGAACUUGAACUUGGCCAAUAGAGAAGCAUGAGUUGCACACUUGCAUUAUCCUGAAUUUAUUUUUUUCUUAAGAACUAAAAAAAAAUAAGAACAGCCUGGUGCACGUAGAAGUCUCACAAUGCAACAGCUGUACCGCUAAAAAAUCUGGGUUUAAUUGCUUCAGUGCAUGCCUUCAGUUAAUUCAGACGUAGCUCAUGGACAAUAGAAGAUACAGAGCGAACGACUUACCCAGUCAACUAUAACAAUGAACAAUAGAUUAUCCCGGGUGUGAAGAUCCUUUUUAUUCCUUAGAGCAAAGAUAUCCUUAUAAGCAAGGCGCAAACUCCACAUAAGCUGCAGGAUCAACGCUGCAAUCAAGUAGCUGAAAUAAAGGGAGACCAGAAUACACUCAUUAGAUGAUUGAUGUCCAAUAUUCAGUUCCAUUUUUGAACAAAUAAGGAGUUGUUCACAGAAAACAUUAAUAGAGGACAACAAAGGAUAACAGAACACUCCAGUUUUUGUUAUGAAAAAGAACACCCAAGUUUAAGUAAACUCCCCAGAUUCUUGACAAUUGAACAUAAAUAUGUACGAUGCCAAGUUUGUAGUCCUCGUGCAAAUAAGCAUGAACUCUGUGAUGGAACGAAAUCCACUGCAUAAACCAUCUUAGAACUCCAAUAAGGAAGUCGUGUAAUGAAGUCUCAUAUCCUUCCUUCUCCUCUUCCUCUGGCACCUUUGGAACCGGAGGGACGCUGUUGUCUUCAGAGAUGCCUCCCCCUCCUUGGAAGCUACCCUCAAGUGCUGCAGGGACGACGUGGUGCUUUGGAGGGGCAGAUUUCGCGAGGAAGAUCGAGGGCAUGUUGAUGUUUGGCUCCAGGCUCCUGUUAAACCGCAUGGCUGAUCGCGGUGACCUNNNNNNNNNNNNNNNNNNNNNNNNNNNNNNNNNNNNNNNNNNNNNNNNNNNNNNNNNNNNNNNNNNNNNNNNNNNNNNNNNNNNNNNNNNNNNNNNNNNNNNNNNNNNNNNNNNNNNNNNNNNNNNNNNNNNNNNNNNNNNNNNNNNNNNNNNNNNNNNNNNNNNNNNNNNNNNNNNNNNNNNNNNNNNNNNNNNNNNNNNNNNNNNNNNNNNNNNNNNNNNNNNNNNNNNNNNNNNNNNNNNNNNNNNNNNNNNNNNNNNNNNNNNNNNNNNNNNNNNNNNNNNNNNNNNNNNNNNNNNNNNNNNNNNNNNNNNNNNNNNNNNNNNNNNNNNNNNNNNNNNNNNNNNNNNNNNNNNNNNNNNNNNNNNNNNNNNNNNNNNNNNNNNNNNNNNNNNNNNNNNNNNNNNNNNNNNNNNNNNNNNNNNNNNNNNNNNNNNNNNNNNNNNNNNNNNNNNNNNNNNNNNNNNNNNNNNNNNNNNNNNNNNNNNNNNNNNNNNNNNNNNNNNNNNNNNNNNNNNNNNNNNNNNNNNNNNNNNNNNNNNNNNNNNNNNNNNNNNNNNNNNNNNNNNNNNNNNNNNNNNNNNNNNNNNNNNNNNNNNNNNNNNNNNNNCCAUAAACUCUUGUUGUUGUGCCAUAUUCUUUCUUCUGCUCCGGUGAGGCCAUAAAUUUACUAUGUACUAGUUGGUGGGUGACAGGACAAGUACCAGUUAAUAAUUUUGAGAGCAUUGAAGGUAGUCAUGGAGAUAUUUAUCAAAUGAGAGCAUUGAAGUUUUAAGCCUAGAAACUUUUGGGGCGAGCUCAGCUUGCAAGCCUCUAUCUUAUUCCUACCCAACCCAAGACCAAGGCCUUGAAAGACCCGAACUGAAACAUAGUAGUUAAUGCUCGAUCGGCAGUGCUAAGACACUGGAAAGAAUCGAACUGAGCCGUAGGGGAGGGAUGCCAUCUCAAGGGCUCCGACCAAAGUAACGUGGCCUUGUCCUCCAAACCCAGAUCAAACACAACAGAGGGAGGACACUCACAUAGCUUGCUACGAGUGAUGCUCAUGGAUUUGCAAGAAAACACACGAAUGGGGAGGGCAUUCUACAGUAAAAAAAGAAGCAGCAUUUGCGGGGGGAUGAAAUUAGUAGUAGGGGGAGGGAGGGGAGGGAGUACAAGAAGGCGCUGUAGUUGGAGUAGCCGAAGCCCGAGACCAUGGCGAAGGUGGAGGCGGCGGCGAAGACGCACUGCGACAGCCGUAGCGCCAUGCCGCUCCAUGUCCCCGGGCUCCCCGCCACGCGCUUCAUCCCCUGCCUGCCUGCCUCUGCUCUGCUUGCUGCAGAGAGGUGAGGCGGAGACGCCGAUGGAGCCCUUCCUGGCGUGGAUCUGUGGCAGUUGCUGUGUGCGCUUAGCUCGUGUGGGGAGGGAUGGGAAAGGUGAUGGCUAUGAUGAGCAGGAGGUGGCCAUAGCACUUGUUAUGUGCGCAGUGCGCUUGGCUUGGGGUAGACCAGAUGGGAAAGGUGAUGGAAGAGCAGGGUACCUCUGCCUGGUGGUUUUCGAGAUACAAAUGGAACGCAAGUAAUAACUCAAUUGAACUGAGUACCCACGUCGUACGUACAUUGGUUUGUCACCUUUACUCCUCGUUCCAACAUAUCCCUUUGUUAGUCCUCUUAUUAUUAUCUUGCCCGCAAAAAGAAAAAAGAUCCGUCUGCAUACAGUCGGCCGUGUGAGCCGGACAUGUUAGUGUCAUCCAACAUGAUUAUGUAUCAGUCAACCGGGUGGUCCGGACGCAUUCCCCCACCCCCACAAGUCAGAGAUAAAUUGGANNNNNNNNNNNNNNNNNNNNNNNNNNNNNNNNNNNNNNNNNNNNNNNNNNNNNNNNNNNNNNNNNNNNNNNNNNNNNNNNNNNNNNNNNNNNNNNNNNNNNNNNNNNNNNNNNNNNNNNNNNNNNNNNNNNNNNNNNNNNNNNNNNNNNNNNNNNNNNNNNNNNNNNNNNNNNNNNNNNNNNNNNNNNNNNNNNNNNNNNNNNNNNNNNNNNNNNNNNNNNNNNNNNNNNNNNNNNNNNNNNNNNNNNNNNNNNNNNNNNNNNNNNNNNNNNNNNNNNNNNNNNNNNNNNNNNNNNNNNNNNNNNNNNNNNNNNNNNGUGUGCGUUCCCACCCCGGGUCAACCGCCCGCAUUCACGUCGUUGUAGAGCGGCCGCUUCACAAUGACUUUCCGUGCCGGUCUUCAUCACACUGUCCGGUUCUUCCUCGCCUAUUUCGAGUAUCGUCGCCGCGCUCCUAACCGGUGGUCGCCGCUCUUCCUCGGGGCCACUGCUGCUCGCUCACACGAGUUGCGCCGUCCAUCCACCCCCUUCAUCUUCGUCCAGCACCAGCCCGUCGCCAACGUCGUCGUCAUCUUUCCCGACCACUUCGUCUACUCCGACCACCAUUAGUGACAUCGGCCCCACGCCGAUUGGCACCACAUCCGUCGUCGAGUCUCCUUGGCCCCUCCGACUCCUCGACAUGGCAUUCAGCUCAUGCAGGUCCCUAAUCUACGCAUGCCCGGUGCUGGCAAAACCGAUGUGUGCCUUCAUCCACGACGUGUCCAUGGGCCUGACAAGCCUGGUGCGGCGCUUCGUCAACUUCAUCUUCGUCCAUCUAUGCAUGCCCAGUGCUGGCUACACUGAUGCUGCCUUCGUCCACGAUGUGUCCCCGGACUUGGCAAACCCGGCGCGACAUGUCGUCAACAACGUCUUCUUCCAGGCGCACCACUACUUCGGCACCACUGCGCCCAUGACUAACUCAGUGCCUCAUUGAACCCACGGCUCCACGGCGACUACCUCAACACCGGCCACCCCGACUCAACAUCGACCACGCCGUUCUUCGCACGGCUACACCACCCCUACGCUCUCGGCUACCUCGACAAUGGCACAAAGGGCUACCAUCUUGCUUGAGCAACCUCGUCGGUUUCCACUCUAGCCACAACUUCAGCGAUGCAUCAACCAUUACGACCGUGGGGGGAUGUUCGUCGGCUUACCUUCGGAUUCUCUCCAGUCUCGCCGUCUGCGUCGUUAUCAUUGUGACUGCGGGGUGAUGUUGAGUAUAUUGAUUAUUAUGAAGUAUAGGAUAGACUAGAAUUUGUUCCUGCCUUGUCUUCUAGUCCAAGAUGGUCAUUGUACUCCUAUAUAUAUGCUCACAGGGCUCAAGCAAUAAAUAUCAAUUCCACCAAUCCCUCUCUAUCCCUUCUAACAUGUAGGUCAUUCAACUUACAAGUUUUUUUAUCGACUUUUGAUCAGUUCUGCUUCUGUGCAACUCUAAACACAUCAAGAUCUCUUCAUAUCACUUCAUAAUAAAUGAUAGGAUGGUCAUUUUAAAAGUAUGUCGUCCGCGUCGAUAUGCAGUACCCCCACACACACCCUUUGCACUGUUGUAGCCUUAGUACAACCGCGGUAACCAACUAGACUACCUUCUUGUUGUGCCUAGUUACCUUCUUUUUGCUUCUUCAAGUAGUAUAGCACUAACCAAUGGGAGCAUGUAUGGUUUCUUUUUUUGGGUUUUGGUUUGUCCGGUUUCUUCUGUCUUUUUUUCUUUUUUCUCUCUUUUUUCUUUUCUCAGUUUACUUUAUUCAUUUUUUAAAUUCAUGAACUAUUUUUAAAUCAUGGAUUUUUCUAAAUCCGUGAACUUUUUAAAUUCAUAAACAUUUCUUAAAUUCACAAAGUUUGUUUUAAAUACAGGAAUUUUCUUUUCAAAUCCAUGAACACUUUUCAAAUUUUAUGAGUUAUUUUUCAAAGCAUGCGAAUUUUGUUUAGAGUCGUUAAUUUAAAAAAAAUUGAUGAACUUUUUCCAAAUACGCGAAUGCUUGGGCCGGCCAAACAAGCGUAUGAUGGGAGCGACGCCAUUGACUAGUUGGGCCAACACCUAAGCCUUUUUUUUCUUCUUCAAUUUUUUUCUUUUUCUUUUUUAUAAUUCCAAUUUCUCCUUUUUGAACUUUUUUCCUGAAACCUGAUAAAAAUAUGAAAUAUUGUUUGGAACACAAAAAACUAUUAUCUUUUUCAAAUAUUUUUUACAAUUUUAAAAAAUGUUUUGGAAUUUAUAAAAAUGCUCUUGUUUUCAGAUUUUUAUUCACAAAUUUAGGAAAUAUUUGUGUUUCAAAAAAGUUGAUAAAUUUCUUUAAAAAGUACGUGUUUUGUAAUUUGUGUUCAACAUCAAUUGUUGGGAACUUGAUAACAUUUGCUGGACCAAGUAGUAAUUUAUAUUGUCACCAACAUGCCCUUUUUAGACUGGGGAUGAACUGCAUGCAUGAAAGAGCUGUUGGAUUUUUGCAAUAUGCUUUCAAAUAAAUCUAGUACGCCUUUAUCAGUUUAAGAUUGUGCAGGCCUUGAAUACCUUUAUGCUUGGAAUUAUAUUAAUCGACAAAGUUGCUAUGCUAUUUUUAAUGGAUGCUUUUGCAAACUAUGACCUAAACCUUUCUGUCAAUGAAUAUAUAUUGUUUCCCUCCGAAUUUAUGAACCAGCACUAGUAGGAAAAGGGGCUUUUACCCCGGUUCAUAAGGGCCUUUAGUCCCGGUUCUGGAACCGGGACUACAGGGUCGUUACUAAUGCCCUAGCCCUUUAGUCCCGGUUCUUACACGAACCGGGACUAAAGGCCGUCCACGUGGCCGGUGCGGGGAGCCCAGGCAGGAGGGCCUUUGGUCCCGGUUGGUGCCACCAACCGGGACCAAUAGGCAGGGCCUUUUGUCUCGGUUGGUGUCACCAACCGGGACCAAUAGGCAUCCACGCGUCAGCAGCUGGCAGGAGCUGAGGUUUUUGUUUUUUUUUUGAAAGGGGGUGGUUUAGGGGUUUUGGGGGGUUAAUUUAGGUGUUUCAUAUAUUGUGUUAGCUAGCUAAUUAAUAGAGAGAAGUGUCCUCUCUUAUCUCCGUGCUCAGUCGACGCUACGUACUAUAUACGUAUGGAGAGGAGUAGACACGCUAGCUAGUAAUCAAAUGAAGGAAACAGAAGAUCGUCAUGAACAUAUGCAUACAGAGAGAAGUGAUAUCGACCACCUCUCCUUCUCCGAGAUAUUGGUCGAACAACAAGUUCUCGUAUAUCUAUCCGACACUACCGGCUACAUAUAUACAAUAAUUAUCUCUUACAAUACAAUCUCCUAAUUAUAUUGUAGGAACACAGGGUCCACAUAGUAUUCUCCGUUUUCAGCGAUCACGUGGUCAAGGAAGAAUGCCGCCAAUUCCUCUUGAAUUCCUCGCAUACGAUCUUCUGCUAGGAGUUCAUCCCGCUUCCGAAACAUCUAAUUUGAAGAAGGGGGUCAAUACAUAUAUAUAUGAAUAAAUGAAACUCAACACAAAUGAUGGUAAUAAAAUAAAAUUGUGAAUAUUAUUGCUUACGCACUUCAUAUUGUUCUUCAGUGUAGCCCCGCUCACAGGUAUGGUAGCGGAUGGACUCGCAAACGUAGUAUCCACAGUAAUUAUUCCCGGGUUCCUGCCACAACCACUUUACAAGAAAUAGAGGUCAAUCAAACUGAUAAGCAAGCAUGCUAAAUGGUAUUGAUGAAACUAGCGCUUGAAUCACUAGGAGAUGCGCGGAACAUGCUACUAUAGUACUUACUUUCGGGUGAUUAAAUUGCAGCUUCUUCGGCAGUCCCGGAGCUUUUGAGGUGAAUUUUCUCCAAACCCUGCCAAACAAAGAAAACAAUUACUUGAUAUCAGGAAAUGAACAAAGUUGCUGAUAUGGUGGAUAAUGAUCGAUUUAACUUACUUCUCGAGCAUUUGAGUCAUGUUCGCAUAGUCCUGGGGAUCUUUUCGUCUCGAGUCUAAGACGGUUACUACUCCCGGCUCAAGCUUAAUAUCUAGGAGAAUAUAGUGGAAGCUGCGCAUGCAUGCAUAAUUCAUCAAUUACAUUACCAUAACCUGGACUAAUAUGGGAAACCGAAUAUGCACAAGACAGUAACAAUCACUUGAAGUUGUAAGGAAAAAGUAUUAUAUCUUUGUUUUGAUUUAAUACCAACGAUUGUAGCAAGUUGGCCUCGGCUUCUUUGGGAUGUUUUUCAACCGUAUAUGCAUCUAUGAGAUUUGUGUUAAUGAACCCAAUAUCACCGAUUUGUCUUUUCUUCAAUUCGGCGAUCUUCAAUCUGCAUAAUAUAGUGAGGAUAAGUAUAAAUACAUGCAAUGAAAGAGCUGACCAAUAUAGAGAGACUUAAUGACAGAAGUAGUACUACUUACAGACAGUAGCAAGUGAUUGUUGUUUUAUCGAGGGCCUUUUGAUUGUAAAACUGGAAGAAAUCCUCAAAUGGAACAUUCAGCAGUUCAAUUCCAACGAGGUCAUGCUGCGGUUUAACUCUCAGCGUCAAAGUACUCGUCCCAUCAGACUCUCUGCAGGUUUUCAUGUACCAAUCAUGUAAUCUUCGCAUCAUUGUGCUUAGAGAUCUGACAUCUUUGACGAGAGGCUUCCCGUAAUGGUAUUUGUGUUCGUCCACCUCCAUGAUUUCAUAAUGUACAUCGUCGGGCAGGUAAUCUCCAAGAUUGCUAUAACCGGGCACCAUACUCGGAUCAUUAGCGACGAUAUCUUUUGACACCUUGAGCGGGGGGCACGAUUGGUUAGCUUGUUUGCCGAGCUGGGCAAUUUUUUUCCCAGCUCGUCGUUCUUUCAUCCUUUUAUCACUGACAGUACUUCCCGACCGCUCCGCUUCGGCAUAUGUCUUUGCAAGAACGCGCUCAUAGUUGCCUCUCGGCGGAGACUUUGGUGGUUUUGUCAGGGCAGCCAGAGUGCACUUUGCUUUCACCGGAUCUAUCUUCUCCUCCGGAGGUGAAUGUUUCUUUGCUUUCACCCCUUCAAAGAAGUUCGUCACUUCGGCUCGCACGAUCUUCGCGUUCUCCUCCUCGGUCCUCUCAUAUGGUAACUUCUCUGGAGUCUUCAGAGAAGGACCGAAUCUGUAUUGCCUCCCGCCUCUGGCAGCUGUACUGCUAGACGCCGGCAGAGCAGACGGAGCGGCUGCGGCUGUCUUCUUUCCUUGCUUACGAGGCGGAGGAGAAGGACUACGACGCGCCGGAGCAACCGCAGCGGCGGCGGGUCUCUUCUGCCCUUGCUGACGAGGCGGAGAAGGAGGAGGCUGGCUGCUCUGGCGCACCGGCGCUGGCGGAGAAGAAGGCGGAGUGCCGCCACGCGCCGGAGAAGGAGGCUGAGUGCCCUGAUCACUCGCCGGAGGAGGAGGCGGAGGAGGAGGCGGAGUGCCCUUACUCGCCGGAGCCGUCCAGUUCGGAAGCUUGAUGAGCUCCUUCCGCCAUAGGCAUGAAGUCUUCAGAGCUAAACCCAGCCGAGUCUCCCCUUCACCGGUAGGGUGGUCAAGCUGGAGGUCCUCAAAUCCCUCCGUUAUUUCAUCCACCAUCACCUAGCAUAUCCUUCUGGAAUCGGCCGGCAGUGGUAGGUUGCGCCGGGUUCAGUAGGUAAAACAGAGCCAACAGCCGCCUUGACUUUCAAGUUCUGCCAUUCCGCCAUAAGGUGGCAAUGUUGAGACUCCGUGAUAGCAUCCACGGGGUAGCUAGCAGGAGCCGCAUGCUCCAGCUGAGGCAGCUCGGUGGAAGCCACGCUGCUUCUUCGCUGAGAUGGCGGUGUAGCUUCGGCGGCAGUUUCGGCAUCACGAUUGCCGUCUCGUUCCUCUAGCGCUUGAACCCUUUCGUGCAGCUUCUGAAUUUGGAUCUGCUCCACUUUUUUCCUCCUCUCCUGGGUUUUGUAACCGCCCGCGUCCGGAAAACCAGCCUUCCACGGAACGGAGCCUGGCGUGCCUCGUGUCCGUCCAGCGUGCUCAGGAUUCCCGAGGGCCAUUCUGAGCUCGUCGUUCUCUCUGUCUGGAAUGAACGUCCCUUGCUGCGCUGCAUCGAUAUAGUGCUUAAGCUUCUUGACGGGUAUUGCAAGUUGCUCGUCCGUCCAACGACACCUCCCUGAUACAGGGUCCAAGGUUCUGCCAGCCCCGAAGAACCAAGUCCGGCAACGGUCUGGCCAGUUCAUUGUCUCUGGUUCGAUCCCUUUAUCAAGCAGAUCCCUCUCAGACUUGGCCCACUUAGGCCGGGCUUUGAGGUAGCCACCUGACCCCGUGCGAUGGUGAAGCUUCUUCUUCGCAGCAUUCUUCUUGUUUGUCGCUGACAUCUUCUUACUCUUUUCUGAUGUCUUGUGGGCCACAAAUGUGGGCAGUUGAUCUCUGAUCUUCUCAUACCGGCCGAUGAAUUCUGGUGUCUCUUCUUUGUCGACAAACGUUUUCAGCUCAUUCUUCCACCUCCUGAAUAGGUCUGCCAUCUUCUUAAGAGCAUGAGACUUGAUUAAGUGCUCUAUAACUGGCUUCUCCGGAUCCUCCUCUGGCGGUAGGGUGAAAUUUUCCUUCACCUCAGUCCAAAGAUCAUCUUUCUGCAUAUCAUUGACAUAAGACACCUCAGGGUCUUCCUUCUUAGGCUUAUACCAUUGGUGGAUGCUGAUCGGGAUCUUGUCCCUAACUAGAACCCCGCACUGAGCAGCAAAAGCAUCCUUUGUCCGGAGGGGUUCAAUCGGUUGGCCGUCGCGCGCGAUUGCUGUGAUCUCAAACCUUUCAUCCGAGCGCAACUUUCUCUUCGGGCCUUGUCUCUUUACCGCAAUUGUGCUCGAUCCGGUGGGCUAGAAAAAAGAAGAAAGAUGAGUGUUAAUUAAUAUGUGUACAUACCAAAACAAUGAAUGCAUCAAUUAGCUAGUCAGCACAGGCUUAACUAAUAUAUUUACCUGGCCGGACUCUGUUCGGUCACCGGAGCCGUCACCACGGGCUCCUUCUUGCACCAGCAUUGGGUCACCGGAGCCAUCAUAAUCAUGUCUUUCCUCCUCCACUCUUCGAUCACCGUAGCCUGCUUCUUCACCCUGUUCUUCCAUACCAUCAUUGUCGUUAAGAUACGACAAGAUAUCACCUCCGGCUAAGAUUAUGUCCCCCAACACCUCUUCUGCUUGCUCAUCUCGUUUGUGCUCCAUUGUUUCUGCAAAUAUUACAACAUGGCAAUUAUUACACAAACAUGACAGCAGGUGGAUAUAUUAGUGCAAACGUAGACCUAGCUUAUUCCGAGUUUGGGGUGGCCUAGGCAACGCUUCAAGGGUAGGGGCGCGGCGGGAGGGGGUAGGAGACCGACAUCGUUUUUUUUAGGGUUUGGGUGUCCUCGAGAGUUUUGGUCGAGCGAGAGGGCCGGGGGGUGCUCCCGUGGUAUAAGUUAUCACGGUCGAGAGGGGGUAUACAUAUCGACCGUCCAUCAUGUCAAAGUUAUCUGGGAGGGAGUNNNNNNNNNNUAUUCGCUUCCUUAUCUUUUCUUUUCCUCGGUCUGGUAGACAUGUCCUUCACAUAGAUAACCUGUGCCACAUCAUUGGCUAGGACGAACGGUUCGUCAGUGUACCCAAGAUUGUUCAGAUCCACUGUUGUCAUUCCGUACUGUGGGUCUACCUGUACCCCGCCUCCUGACAGAUUGACCCAUUUGCACUUAAACAAAGGGACCUUAAAAUCAUGUCCGUAGUCAAGUUCCCAUAUGUCCAUUAUGUAACCAUAAUAUGUGUCCUUUCCCCUCUCGGUUGCUGCAUCAAAGCGGACACCGCUGUUUUGGUUGGUGCUCUUUUGAUCUUGGGCGAUCGUGUAAAAUGUAUUCCCAUUUAUCUCGUAUCCUUUGUAAGUCAAUACAGUCGAAGAUGGUCUCCUGGACAACGAGUACAACUCACACAAACAGUGGUGUCACCUCUGAGACGUGUUUCCAACCAACUGUUGAAAGUCCUGAUGUGUUCACAUGUAAUCCAGUCGUCACACUGCUCCAGGUGUUUGGAGCGCAGACUGUUCUUGUGUUCAUCGACAUACGGGGUCACCAAGGUAGAGUUCUGUAGAACUGUGUAGUAUGCUUGAGACCAAGAAUGCCCGUCCCUGCAUAUUAUUGAGUCUGCUCCUAGCGUGCCUUUUCCAGUCAGUCUCCCCUCAUACCGCGAUUUAGGGAGACCUAUCUUCUUAAGGCCAGGAAUGAAGUCAACACAAAACCCAAUGACAUCCUCUGUUUGAUGGCCCAUGGAGAUGCUUCCUUCUGGCCUAGCGCGGUUACGGACAUAUUUCUUUAGGACUCCCAUGAACCUCUCAAAGGGGAACAUAUUGUGUAGAAAUACGGGCCCCAGAAUGACAAUCUCGUCGACUAGAUGAACUAGGACGUGCGUCAUGAUAUUGAAGAAGGAUGGUGGGAACACCAGCUCGAAACUGACAAGACAUUGCGCCACAUCACUCCUUAGCCUUCGUAUGAUUUCUGGAUCGAUCACCUUCUGAGAGAUUGCAUUGAGGAAUGCACAUAGCUUCACAAUGGCUAAUCGAACGUUUUCCGGUAGAAGCCCCCUCAAUGCAACCGGAAGCAGUUGCGUCAUAAUCACGUGGCAGUCAUGAGACUUUAGGUUCCGGAACUUUUUCUCUGGCAUAUUUAUUAUUCCCUUUAUAUUCGACGAGAAGCCAGUCGGGACCUUCAUACUGAGCAGGCAUUCAAAGAAGAUUUCUUUCUCUUCUUUCGUAAGAGCGUAGCUGGCAGGACCUUCAUACUGCUUCGGAGGCAUGCCGUCUUUUUCGUGCAAACGUUGCAGGUCCUCCCGUGCCUCAGGUGUAUCUUUUGUCUUCCCAUACACGCCCAAGAAGCCUAGCAGGUUCACGCAAAGGUUCUUCGUCACGUGCAUCACGUCGAUUGAAGAGCGGACCUCUAGCUCUUUCCAGUAGGGUAGGUCCCAAAAUAUAGAUUUCUUCUUCCACAUGGGUGCGUGUCCCUCAGCGUCAUUCGGAACAGCUAGUCCGCCAGGGCCCUUUCCAAAGAUUACGUGUAAAUCAUUGACCAUAGCAAGUACGUGAUCACCGGUACGCAUGGCGGGCUUCUUCCGGUGAUCUGCCUCGCCUUUGAAAUGCUUGCCUUUCUUUUGACAUUGAUGGUUGGUCGGAAGAAAUCGACGAUGGCCCAGGUACACAUUCUUCCUGCUUUUGUCCAGGUAUAUACUUUCAGUGUCAUCUAAACAGUGCGUGCAUGCGUGGUAUCCCUUGUUUGUCUGUCCUGAAAGGUUACAAAGAGCGGGCCAAUAGUUGAUGGUUACAAACAGCAAUGCGUGCAGGUUAAAUUCCUCCUGUUUGUGCUCAUCCCGCGUACGUACACCGUUUCCAUUCCACGGCUGUAAAAGUUCUUCAACUAAUGGCCUUAGGUACACAUCAAUGUCGUUGCCGGGUUGCUUAGGGCCUUGGAUGAGAACUAGCAUCAUAAUGAACUUCCGCUUCAUGCACAUCCAAGGAGGAAGGUUAUACAUACAUAGAGUCAUGGGCCAGGUGCUGUGAUUGCUGCUCUGCUCCCCGAAAGGAUUAAUGCCAUCCGCGCUUAAACCAAACCAUACGUUCCUUGGGUCAGCUGCAAACUCAGCCCAGUACUUUCUCUCGAUUUUUCUCCACUGCGACCCGUCAGCGGGUGCUCCCAACUUCCCGUCUUUCUUACGGUCCUCACUGUGCCAUCGCAUCAACUUGGCAUGCUCUUCGUUUCUGAGAAGACGUUUCAACCGUGGUAUUAUAGGAGCAUACCACAUCACCUUCGCAGGAACCCUCUUCCUGGGGGGCUCGCCGUCAACAUCACCAGGGUCAUCUCGUCUGAUCUUAUACCGCAAUGCACCGCAUACCGGGCUUGCGUUCAGAUCCUUGUACGCACCGUGGUAGAGGAUGCAAUCAUUAGGGCAUGCAUGUAUCUUCUGCACCUCCAAUCCUAGAGGGCAUACGACCUUCUUUGCUGCGUAUGUACUGUCGGGCAAUUCGUUAUCCUUUGGAAGCUUCUUCUUCAAUAUUUUCAAUAGCUUCUCAAAUCCUUUGUCAGGCACAGCAUUCUCUGCCUUUCACUGCAGCAAUUCCAGUACGGUACCGAGCUUUGUGUUGCCAUCUUCGCAAUUGGGGUACAACCCUUUUUUGUGAUCCUCUGACAUGCGAUCGAACUUCAGCUUCUCCUUUUGACAUUCGCAUUGCGUCCUUGCAUCGACUAUGACCCGGCGGAGAUCAUCAUCAUUGGGCACUGGUUCCUCUUGAUCUUCAGCAGCUUCCCCCCUUGCAGCAUCAUUGGGCACAUCGUCUGAUUCCUCUUGAUCUUCAGCAGCUUCCCCCGUUGCAGCAUCACCGUAUUCAGGGGGCACAUAGUUGUCAUCGUCCUCUUCUUCUUCGCCGUCUUCCAUCAUAACCCCUAUUUCUCCGUGCCUCGUCCAAACAUUAUAGUCUGGCAUGAAAUCCUUGUAAAGCAGGUGGAUGUGAAGGAUUUUCCGGUCAGACUAAGACUUCGUAUUCCCACAUAUAGGGCAUGGACAACACAUAAAACCAUUUUGCUUGUUUUCCUCAGCCACUUCGAGAAAAUCAUGCACGCCCUUAAUGUACUCGGAGGUGUGUCUGUCACCGUACAUCCAUUGCCGGUUCAUCUGCUUGCAUUAUAUAUAAUUAAGUGUGUCAAAAACCAUUAUAGAACAUCAUGAAUAGAUAAUUAAGUGACCAAAUUAAUAGAAGUUCAUCAUCACAUUAGAACCAAAGUACAUACAUAGUUCUCAUCUAACAACAUAUAUAUAUAGCUCUCCAGAGCAUCUAAUUAAUUAAACCAUACAUUGAAACUAUGUAAAACAUUUCAAUGUGAAAACAAAUGCGAUCAUAAUCGCAACCAAGGUAACAAUUGAUCCAACGGCAUAAUGAUACCAAGCCUCGGUAUGAAUGGCAUAUUUUCUAAUCUUUCUAAUCUUCAAGCGCAUUGCAUCCAUCUUGAUCUUGUGAUCAUCGACGACAUCUGCAACAUGCAACUCCAAUAUCAUCUUCUCCUCCUCAAUUUUUUUAAUUUUUUCCUUCAAGUAAUUGCUUUCUUCUUCAACUAAAUUUAACCUCUCGACAAUAGGGUCGGUUAGAAUUUCCGGUUCAACCACCUCCUAGAUAAAUAAAAUCUAUGUCACGUUGGUCGGUAUAUUUGUCAUAAACAAUAAAUGAAUCAAAUAGUUAUAAAAAGAUAAUAUAUACCACAUCCGAAUCAUAGACAGGACGAGGGCCGACGGGGGCGGAUACCAAAACCACGCACUAUGUAAUAAAAAGGAAUAAUAAAAGUAACAAAAUUAGACAAGUAAGUAUCUAAAGUAAGAUUUUUUUCCUUUCAGAAAGAAGAUAAGAACAAGAGGCUCACCACGGUGGUGCUGGCAACGAGAUUGGCGCGGGCGAUCGACGGCGGUGAAGACGGGGACGGGACGUGACGGACCGCUAAACCUAGACAAAUCUCGGGGAAAAUGGAGCUCGGAGGUCGAGUUUCGAGAGGACAAAGAUUAACUAGUGUGGCUCAGACAUUUCAUCGAACACCUCAUGUGCAUAGGAGGUGAGCUAGAGCACCCAAAUGUCCUCCCCUCGCUGGCCAGAAAAAACAGAGCACUCUGGAGUGCUCUGCUGUGGCGAUGGGGUAUAUAUAGGGAACUCAUUGGUCCCGGUUGGUGGCACCAGCCGGGACUAAAGGCCUUUGGUCCCGGUUGGUGCCACGAAUCGGGACCAUUGCCCCCUUUAGUCCCGGUUGGUGGCACCAACCGGGACCAAAGGCCUUGUGCUGGAACUGGCGCGGUGCGGUGGGAUGUUUAGUCCCACCUCGCUAGCCGAGAGGCUUCGACAGUGGUUUAUAAGCGCAGCUGCGCUGACCACUUCGUGCUCCUCUCAAAUGCAGGCUUACGGGCCUAUUCUGUCACUAUUUGCCUGUGGGCCUAUUGGGCCUUCUGCGGGCCUGAAUCCUGGCCCAUGGAUGGGUUUCUAGUCGUAUUCAGGUCGUGGUGGCCUAGUAGGUGGCAUAAUUUUUUUCCUCUGUUUUUUUUCUCUUUUGCUUUAUUUGUUUUGUUUUGUUUCUACUUACAACAAAAAACUUAUUUAUUUUAUUUCUAAUUACUUAUGUAUUUUACUUUAAUUAUUUUAUUUCUAAUUACUCAGGUUUGACCAGUCGCCCCCGCCUCCUUCCUCCUCUGGCCGAACAGAGGCGGGGCUCCGGCGAUCAACGCCGGCGAACGGCGGCUCCUCGCGGGGUCCUGAGGGCGGGGAUGGAUCCGCCAGGCCGGGGCGGUCCUCCCGGUGGUCGAGGAGGUGGCAGGGAUGGAGGGAGUCGCCGGCGGCGAGCUCCGCGGCGGACGGCAGCUUCGGGAGGUUUGGGGCUUUGGCCUACGGUGGUUCCCCGACGCAGCUGAGGGUUUGGGCGGCUCUGCACGGUCGAGGGGAGGAGGAUGGUGGUGCUAUACGGACGGGGGGGGCUCUGGUUGCGACUAAAUGGACCGGAGGGCGGCGGCGGCUGUACUGGCCGGAGAUGGGGAAGAAGACCCUCCCUGGUCGAUUGCCUGCUAUGGGGGUGCUAGGUGGGGUGGCUUGAGGUCGCCUGAGGGACUGGACGGACUCGGGGGCUCCUUAUAUAGGCGGCUGGAGUCGGUUCCAACGGUGGCCGUGGAUAAGAACGGCGAACCGCCGUUCUCUAGCCUGCAGGACGUCGUGGCGGCGACGGGCACUAGUGGACGAGCUCGCGGAUAAGCUUGGAUUGCUCCAGAGGCGAGCUGGCGAGCGGCUAUGGCUCGGGCGGUGCCGUCCAUGGCAGGGGCCUGCUGUGGCCGGCCGUCGUGCCCCUGAAGACCUAUUCAUCUUGCCUGAAGGUGAUCCUGUGUCAGAUCUUGCACGAUACCUCAUCACCACAACACGUUGGCGGCGGUGUAUGAGGCGUCCAUGGCCCUGGUGGCGCCUUCAAGGGAGGACGCAUGAUCUUCAAGGGAGGACAGGCCAUCAGAUUCAUCCACUUGGUAGCGUCUUUGUUCAUCCAGGUUUGACGAUUCAUCUUUUCAUUAUCUAGUCUCUCUGGGAUGUCAAACGUACCCUCAACAACUAACGUCAGUAUUUAUUUUGUUCUGUAGUGAACCCCCUCGAUGAAUGCAUGUCUGUUGCCGUGGCUAGAGAAAAUUCUACAUAUCCACAUCCUGAUAACUAACAAGAUAAGUAGCAGCUUUGAUAUGGAGGUAUUUUCCUUCACUGCGUGCUUUUUCUUUGUGCCCUUUACUGUACUGUAGUAGCAUUUGCUAAAUUGCAUUGAGAGAAUAGGACGGCACAACAAGCUAGGGCUUCAAGAAAACCAACCAAAUUCCUUUUUUUUGGAUCAACCAACCAAAUUGCUGUAAUAGCACGAUCCGCAAGACCUAGAAGGGAUCUACACAUGACAUCGGUGGCUUCUCCUCCGCCUGCUAUUUGCCGCUUUGACACUGUUGACAGAUCCGAGUUCCACCUGCUAGGCUCGAAUGGUAGAUGUUACGGGCAACUGUAUGUGAAUCCCACUCCAAGGGAUCGCCCUUCUCUAUCCCAGAUAUGGCGGUUAUGGAGUUGAUGGCUCGUGUUUUUUUUUCUCUUUUGCUUUAUUGGUUUUGUUUUGUUUCUACUUACAACAAAAAACUUAUUUAUUUUAUUUCUAAUUACUUAUGUAUUUUACUUUAAUUAUUUUAUUUUUNNNNNNNNNNNNNNNNNNNNNNNNNNNNNNNNNNNNNNNNNNNNNNNNNNNNNNNNNNNNNNNNNNNNNNNNNNNNNNNNNNNNNNNNNNNNNNNNNNNNNNNNNNNNNNNNNNNNNNNNNNNNNNNNNNNNNNNNNNNNNNNNNNNNNNNNNNNNNNNNNNNNNNNNNNNNNNNNNNNNNNNNNNNNNNNNNNNNNNNNNNNNNNNNNNNNNNNNNNNNNNNNNNNNNNNNNNNNNNNNNNNNNNNNNNNNNNNNNNNNNNNNNNNNNNNNNNNNNNNNNNNNNNNNNNNNNNNNNNNNNNNNNNNNNNNNNNNNNNNNNNNNNNNNNNNNNNNNNNNNNNNNNAUAGAUGCGCUUAUAGAGAAAAUUCAACCUAAAUUCAUAAUAAAUUUCUAUGAAAUUUACUAUGAAUUUAGGUCAAAUUUCCUGUAUAAGGGCAUCUAUUUUCACUUUAAGAGAAGCUCAACAAGGCAGAUAGGGACGGCCUUAUAAACUGAUGUGAGCGCCCUUCGGUUGGCGAGGUGGGACUAAACACUGGCCGCAACUAGGACCAGGCCUUUAGUCCCGGUUGUGGUAGGAACCGGGACUAAAGGGUGGUGGGCCAGGAGCGUGGCCCAUUGGUCCCGGUUUGUCCCACCAACCGGGACCAAAAGGUCCGGACGAACCGGGACCAAUGCCCCCACGAGGCCCGGCAGGUCCCUGGCCGCACGAACCGGGACCAAUGCUCACAUUAGUCCCGGUUCGUGACUGAACCGGGGCUAAUGUGAAAACUGUCUUAUGACCUAAGCCCCUUUUCCUACUGGUGCAGGUUGAAACUAUAGAGCAGGGCAAAGACUAAAUUGAACUUCCUUCCAAAAAUGUGUUCAACAGAUUCUUUUUGUUUGAAGGGAUAUAAAAUUCCAUUGCACAAUGUAAGGUGAUGGAUAAUGGAGGGGAAUCGAUCUAUUACAGCUCUCCGAAGUAGUAGAAAUACAUAUCAAUACAGGGUUCAGUUCUUGCGGAAGGGGAAACUACAGGAAGAUAAACUAGGUAGCCGCCGCCGGGUUCUGCCUUGAUCCUCUGGACGGUGUCUUCAGUGGCUGGCUGGUGCUUAAGUAGUCGCAGGCUUGCCUGUCACCCACUCUGGGCCUUGGAUGCGCGAGUUGGGCUUGCGUGUGCGGCUGGGCUGCGUACCCCUGGGCUGGUUGCUGCUUGCAGAUGGGGUCACCUAGUCAGCAACGCUNNNNNNNNNNNNNNNNNNNNNNNNNNNNNNNNNNNNNNNNNNNNNNNNNNNNNNNNNNNNNNNNNNNNNNNNNNNNNNNNNNNNNNNNNNNNNNNNNNNNNNNNNNNNNNNNNNNNNNNNNNNNNNNNNNNNNNNNNNNNNNNNNNNNNNNNNNNNNNNNNNNNNNNNNNNNNNNNNNNNNNNNNNNNNNNNNNNNNNNNNNNNNNNNNNNNNNNNNNNNNNGCUUGCCCCCAAGUCUCAGCCUGCGGAAAGCGGUCUUGAAGGGCCGCCUUGUCUUCCCAGGUUGGUCCGGGCGCCGUGCCAGUCGACCACUCGACGUGUACUUGCUCACACAUGACGCCUUGCUUCCGACGCCAGCGGUUUUGAAGAAUCUUCACCGGAACAGCCAAUUCAUCAGUAUCGAGAGGGAGUUCAGUAUUGACAAGCGUACCGGGGAGGAGGGCUUUGCGCAGUUGCGACACAUGGAAAACCGGAUGCACUGUUGCCUGUGGUGGGAGCUGAAUCUUGUAGGCCACCUCGUUGAUGCGCUGGAUGACGGGGCAUGGCCCGUAAUAUUUGAAGGAGAGCUUAUGGUUGGCACCAAGAGCAACAGAGGACUGAACAUAAGGUUGCAAUUUGAGAAAGACUUGAUCACCAACUUCAAAGGUACGCUCUGAUCUGCGCUUAUCUGCUCGCAUCUUCAUGCAUUGCCGGGCCCUGUUAAGAUGCUGUUGCAAUAGUCCUUGGAUUACUGCACGUUCUUCAAGCCAAGCUUGUAAAGAUGGUACUGAGCAGGAGGUAGUGGCCGAAAGCCCCCAUUGCCGUGGUUCAUGCCCAAACAUCGCUUUGAAUGGGCUCAUCCCGAUGGCUGAAUGGACUGACGAAUUGUACCAAAACUGAGCCAACGGUGUCCAGAAGCCGCGGGCAAGCGUGCCUGAAACAGCGGAGGAAGGUUUCCACGCCACUGAUUCACCCGUUCCGUUCGGCCAUUAGUUUGAGGAUGGUUUGCGGUGCUCAACCGAAGUUUAGUGCCUGCAUACUUGAACAAUUCCUGCCAAAAAUGGCUAGUGAAGACUGGAUCCCGAUCAGAGACAAUAGCUCGGGGGAGACCAUGGAUUAUGUAGAUCUGAUGCAUGUAGAGUUGGGCCACUUUAGCAGCUGUGUAGGGGUGUGCCAGUGGCAAGAAGUGGGCAAAUUUUGUUCUCUUAUCGACAAUGACCCACAAACAAUUGAAAGCUCCUGAUUGCGGCAGACCAUCAAUGAAAUCCAUGGUGAUAAGUUCCCAUGGUUGGCUCGGCACUGGCAGUGGCAUCAGUAGUCCAGGCGAAGCAGCUCGGUCUGGUUUGGCGCGCUGGCAAGUGGAAUAGCACUGGAUGUAGUGCAGUAUAUGGCUCUUCAUCUUAGGCCAAGCAAACAGGCGUUUGAUGCGCGAAUAUGUUGCCGGAAAUCCUGAAUGGCCACCCAGAGCACUGCCAUGGAAGGCGUGGAUGAUUCGCUGCUGCAAUCCCGUCGAGCCGCCAAGCCAGAUACGGCCCCGGAACCUGAUCACUCCUUGAUGUAGUGAAAAUCUGCCUUUGGUGUCCUCCUUGAUGGCUAUCUGCUCAAGGAGGCGUAGAGCUUGGGGAUUCGUGUUGUAACUUGCUAGCAGAUCCUCGAGCCAUGCUGGUUGACAAGAUGUAAUGGUUGUUAGAGUUUCAGAAGUUUUGGCUCGCGAUAGUGCAUCAGCCGCAUGGUUGUUUGAUCCUUUCCUGUAGCGAAUCUGAUAACGCAAACCCAGCAGCUUAGUAAAGGCUUUUUGCUGCCAUGACAAAUUCAGCAUGCUGUAGGUAAGGGCGCCAUUGUUCAACUGCCACAAGAAUAGCCAAGUACUCUUUUUCGUAAGCCGACAGCCCCUGAUAGCGUGGCGAGAGGGCUUUGUUGAUGAAUGCGAUCGGAUGACCCUGCUGCUGCAGAACGGCCCUGAUCCCUGUGUCGCUGGCGUCAGUCUCAACCGUAAACUGUUGCUUGAAAUUGGGAAGAGCGAGGACAGGCGCAGAGGUGAGACUUUGUUGCAAGAGUCUGAAAGCUAUUUCAGUUGCAGGUGUCCACACAAAGGGAACCCCCUUCUUAAGCAGAUUGAAGAGGGGGCGGGCGAUGACUCCAAAGUUUUUGACAAAUCUGCGAUAAUAACCCACGAGGCCCAGGAAACUGCGAACCGCCUUCACAUCUGUUGGCACAGACCAGUUGGACACAGCUCGUAUCUUCUCCGGAUCUGUUGCAACCCCUGAAGCACUGAUCACAUGACCCAGAUAGGCGAUCUGCUGCUGACCAAAAGCACACUUCGAGAGUUUCACCUUCCAACUGUCACGGCGGAGCAGCAUGAGCACCUCCCUUAGCUUCUGGACAUGUUCUUUCAAUGUCCGGCUGUGCACAAGAAUGUCAUCGAGAAAAACAAGCACGCCGUCGCGAAGAACAGGUUUUAGGGUGCCGUGCAUCGCCCCAUUGAAAGUACCUGGACCUCCGGCCAAUCCAAAAGAAACAACUCUGAACUCAUAGUGGCCCGAAUGGGUUUGAAACGCAGUUUUGUACUCUUCUCCUUCUGCGAGUCGAAUUUGAUGAUAACCGGCUCGGAGGUCUAGCUUGGUGAACCAGCAUGACCCAAACAGCUCAUCCAAUAAUUCCUCGAUCACCGGCACUGGGUACUUGGCGACAUUAGUGAGUGCAUUGAGAUGUCGAUAAUCGACGCAUAGAUGCCACGUCCCAUCUUUCUUCUUCACAAGAAUCACUGGCGAUGAAAAAGCGCUAGUACUGGGUUGGAUGAUGCUAGUUCUGAGCAGUUCUGCAAUCUGUGCUUCUAUCUCAUCUUUGUGAUCUGGCUUAUGGCGAUAGGGCCGAAUACUGAUUGGCUAUGCUCCGGGAAUCAAGGGUAUCCGAUGAUCACAUGCACGACGGGGCGGCAGACCCUGUGGUUCUCCAAACACAUCUGAAAAUUCUUCCACUAACUGCUGAAUGAGUGGUGGGACUGGUUGCUGCUGCUCUUGGACUGGUGAAACUGAAUACACCUGAACUAUGUGUGACACUGCACCCUGCUUGCAAAGAGCCUGAAGCUGAAUGCUGUUGAUAGUAUAGCAAGUUGAGGAUGUUGCUUCGUGGCCCUGGAGGACAACUGCUCCUUUUGCUGACUGAAACUGCAAAUGCUUCGCUCGCCAAUCUACUGUCAUAGGACUGGGCUUCUAACCAAUCCAUCCUAAGAAUCGCAUCAUACAUGCCCAGUGCCAAUAUCUUCAUGUCGGUCGCAAAUUCUUUGCCCUGUGUGUACCAAGCACAUUGAUGUACCAUAGAAGAGCAGAUAAGUUCACCACCGUCGGCCACUUUAACUUUGCAUGCUUUUGGUAAGGGCUGGACUCCCUCCAACCGCACAGCGAGCUCCUGGUUGAUGAAUGAGGUUGAGCUACCGGAAUCCACAAGCAUGAGGACCUCAUGGCCCUGGAUCCAUGCUCGCAACUGGAAAGCCUUGCCCGAAACCCCGCCUGAUAGCGCGGAGCGGGAAAUGGCACAGACUGUCUCUUGAGUGUCUUGUGGCUGUGCAGGAUCGUCGCCGUCGACCAUCGCGUUGAUGCCGAAUAAUUCCCACAGCUCCUCGACGACGUGAAGUUGCACGGAUGUGGGGCAGACGUGAUCGUGGCCCCAACGCUCGCCACACUUGAAGCAGAGGCCCCGGGCGCGCCUGUAGUCGCGCAGGGCCUUGACCUUGGCAGUGUCCGCACGCGUGUCCCCUGGACGUGCACCGUCAGCAUGCGCUCCCUCGACGCCACGGCGAUUGGUCGCGAUCGCCGGCGGCGUAGGUCUUGUUGGUGGCGGGGGAAGUGGCAGGGGAGCCCCUCCGCGUGGUUGUGCGUCCGGAGGGCGCGAUGUCGAUGGUGAGCGCGCGUCGCCAAAUGCGCCGUGGACCACUUCUUCUUGCAGGAGGGCAAGGGAGCAUGCUGUAUCCAGAUCCGGUGGUCGCUGCACUAGCACCACCGCCUGGAUGUCCGCCCGUAGCCCCUCCACAAAACGAGUCAAAAAGAAGUAAGGAUGGAUAUUGUGAGAAUAGGAUGACAGAUGGUUAAUGAUAACUUCAAAACGCUCGGUGUAAUCAGCGACAGUGGUGAGCUGCCGCACGGUGUAAAAUUGACGGAUCAAAAGCUGGUGUCGAUCACGACCGAAACCGGUGCACAACAGCGAAGAGAAGGACUCCCAAUCUAGAUCAGAUAGUUUUUUUCUGAACAGACUGAAGCCAGAUCGAGGCUGGUCCCGAAAAAUUCAGGGAAGCCAUCCGUACCCAAAAGGACUCAAGAAUGCCAAACAUCUUGAAGUAUUGCUCACACACAGUUUUCCAGAGGCGUGGGUUUUCACCCUUGAAUUGGGGAAAACUGAUGGAAGGGUGCGCCUGGCCUAGGCCAGCCAGGAGCUGAAUGGCGUGUCUGAGCGGUGAAGGUAAGGGAAGUGGUGAAGCGAGGGUGUACUGACCCGUUGCCGGGAGCGGCGGCGGCGUCGCAAAGGACGCCGUCGGCAACCCCCGGGGAAGGUGAGCGACGCCGUGGUCCAUAGACCCUUGAGUUGAUGCUGCCGCGCCCUCCACAACGCCGGGAUUGGCGCUGCGGGUCGCUGGCGUCGAGUUGAUUCCCUCGGGCGUCGCCGGAGGAGGCACCGCUCGAGUUGCAGCGCAGCGACGGCCUCGCUGAGAUCCGCCACUCGGCGCUCCAGAUCGGGGCGCCAGCUGAUGAUGUCAUCGAUCUUGGCUGUGGAGGCUUGAAUUGACGCGAUCGCCAUGGUGUCGGCCACCAGGGUGGAGUCGAGCCGGUCGAGGAAGGCCUGGAUGGACGGAUCCAUGGCAGCCAUGUGAGAUCGCGCCUGACGCAGCCGGCGUGUCUCGAUGAGCUGCGCCAGAUCGUUGCAGGGAAGAGGAGUGGGAUGGUCUCUGAUACCAAGUGUAAGGUGAUGGAUAAUGGAGGGAAAUCGAUCUAUUAUAGCUCUCCGAAGUAGUAGAAAUACAGAUCAAUACAGGGUUCAGUUCUUGCGGAAGGGGAAACUACAGGAAGAUAAACUAGGUAGCCGCCGCCGGGUUCUGCCUUGAUCCUCUGGAUGGUGUCUUCAGUGGCUGGCUGGUGCUUAAGUAGUCGCAGGCUUGCCUGUCACCCACUCUGGGCCUUGGAUGUGUUACAAUUAAUUAACCAUGUGUUAAUUAUGGGAUUAAUCCCUGCUUGUACUAACCGCAGGCCGUUGUAAAACUGCCGCGUCGGUUCCCGCCGAACAGGCACCUGCUCUGAACAGACACCUUUUCCAGUGGUGUCCUUUCCCUUGUAUAAAUAGCAGAUGGCAUCUAAUAAAGAUGAGACUUGAUUCAUUCAAAACACGUUAUCAACACGCUCUGGCGAGAGCAGAAGGCCACGAGAGAUUAGGCCAUCCCGGCGGUUACGGAUGUCGCCGAUGGCUUACAGGCGAUGCAACCGGAAGCGGAAGCAGGAACCGGAAUCGUUCCAUUGAGCGCUCGCGGCGAGACAUCUUCCGGUGACGAGGCGAUGGAGCCCAGGUGUCAGCGCUCGACCGCAGCGUCCUCCAGCGCAUGGUUUGGUCUCACCCUCUCCUUCCCCUUCUCCCAGACGCCGUCCACAGUGGCCGCAUAAGCGGCCCUCUCCGGCACGGCCGACCGCGGCGCAUCUGCGACCCCGGCCUGCUACGCAAGCGCCUCCCGACCGGAGACUCGGUGCCUAUAGCGGGGAACAACCCGGCCUCGACCUCCCGGCGCGCGGAGCCCACAGCGGAUCCUCGACAGCGGCGCACCCGCAUCUUCUACGUCCUGGCGACGACGAAGACGGGCGAUGGAGGCGAGGCAGCCAGCGCCCGACGCGGCUCCCGGCAUCCGCGUGGAGUUCCUGCAGCCACGGUCCUGCCCGUGGCGAAGAUGGAGCGGGCUCUCCCUUCAGCUGACUGUGUGCAGCCCGCCCCCGACGGUCGGCCAGGCCCGAACCUAGCACAGGCCUCCUCCGGCGCGGCAAGGCCCAGCGCGCGAACGGUGUCGUUUCCACCGCCAGACUACGGCGGUGGCGACCCUCGACCUGCGCUCCUUCCUCCGGCCGGCUGGUGCGCGGCUACGCGGAGCGGGACGUCGAGUACGGCCUCGGCCCGGUCCUCCUCGCGUAGCCAUGGCCCUCGGCCUACGUUGACGCGGACCUCCACGGCACGCGGCGCGGUGCCCGUGGCGUCGUUCAGCGUACGCCGACGAACUCCGGCGCGAGGCAACUCAGCACCGCGCGCGAGGCGAAGGCAUCCAUGGCUGGAUCUCCCGGAAGCGGCGGCGAUGGCUCCUGUGUAAAGCUAACCGAAUCGAUUGAUUCGUGUACUAAUUACAGGCCACACACAGGACAACGAUGGGAACCUUAUCUCUUUGAAGGUUUUUCAUUGUAGCCCUCUGGUUAUGCACUAACCCCGCACAAGUGGCUAUGUAUUUGCAUUGACCAUCAAAUCAGGCCACAGGCUGUGCAUUGGAAACCGUCAGAUAUCUCCAUAUCACAUUUACAAUAUAUGUAAAUGAUGAUUUCAGAUAUACUCUGUGAAAAUGGGACAUGUUCAUCGUAUUUGCUCUCUAGCAAUUCCUAUAAGAUGUUCUGCAUUGCGAUCGAGAUUAAGUUUUCUCGCACAACAAUAUUGAUUUGCGAUUGACAGUUUUUUUUCUCGCAAAAUAAUUGCGGUUGAGAUCAAUUUUCUCUCGCAAAAUAUUAAUUCACUUCGCUGAAUUAUCUUGCAAUUUGAUACAAGAUCUCAUUUAAUUUGAGAUCUAUACAAUUCAAGUUUUUCACUUGAGGAUCAAGUUUGCAACACCAUUAUUAUUCAUUACAUUAGUAAUGUACAUCUGUAGAGUACCUUGUAUUCCAGAAUAAACUAUAGUGUUAUAUAUCUCCAUGUUAUUCUACAUGUUGAGAUUAAUUACAUCUACUAUUUGCAAUUGAGAUUUUUAAUUUCUUGCAAAUAAAAAAUCAAUUCAUCUUAGUUGAGUCUUUUGACUUAAUACGAGGAAGAAUUGAUAUGCAAAAUUGAGAUCACAAGGUAGUGUGUAGAUCUACUGCUUUGCAGAUUAUCACCACUAUUGUUAAAGCUUACAUUUUGUCGUUUCGACAUUAUGAUUGCUUUACAAAGUGCUCUCCCACACAUUUUACUAAGUCAUGACAUAAGGCAUUAGGAAUGAGUACCUACUGAUUUCAUCAGAUUAUACUCCCUAGUGCUGCGAGAUCUACUCCCUUUUGGAGAUUAUCUUCAAGAUGUCAUACUUAGCAAUUUGAAGUUCGCACUGAUGGUUUCAAGAUAACUUCUUGAAAUACCCAUCAAUUUUGCAAAAUUCAUUACAACACUAACCAUGAUGGUCUUUAAUUUACUACUCGUAAAUUAAUUAUCUCUGGUUUGCCCCUUUAAGUAAUCGAUGGCUAAGUAAUUUGAGGCUCUUGCCCUUAAUGGCCAGAACUUGCUUAAGCGGGUCAUGGACAUCAAGAUCAGUCUUGCCUCUCAUGGGAUAGCGCGUGUAAUCCAAGCCACGCCACCGGGACACAAAUUACCUCAAGGGUAAAGGUUUGAAGCUCACUUCAAACCUUCAACCUGACACCAUCAUGAAAGUCAGUUGUUUGCAUGAUGUUCUUCUAGAACUGAGCAAUAAAAUGACUAUCCAGCUGUCACGGGACCCUAUGAGCACGGAGAACAUGAAGGUUGGAUAUGCAUCAACUGACAUGUUUGGAGACUAUAUUUAGUCCCUCAAUCUCCUUAGUGAUCUAUUAAUUUAUGUCCAUUUCUGAUGUUCUAAUACGAACAUGAUUAUUGUUGUCAUCAUAUAUUGUGUAUCACAAUAUAUUGUAUCAGCACUUUAGUACAACACAUUUGUAUGUAUUCUAUAUAUCUGAGUGAUUUUCAUAUUGAGAAUCUUCAAAUCUAUAUAUAGACUUCUACGGGGGUCAAUCUGAUGAAAGAUCAUAUGUGCCUUGUGGACAUAUGCACCACGAACUCCAUACUCAGGGGAGUGAAAUAUUUCCACUCUCGUUGAGAGAAAGGGGAUAUUUUAAAAUCGCUAGACGUGAUGAAGUAUUUGUUGGCUCAACCCGAGUCAUAUUUACUAUCCCUGUGGGUACUCGAGUAACGUCGGGAUGCUUUAUUGCUUCUCAGGUUCAAUUCGUACCCUACUAAACUAUGGAGGUAUCCGUCAAAAUAGUUUCCAUAGCGAAACUUAUGAUGACAACAAAGAGAAAUAACUUCUCUUUACUAUAUGCAACGGAUAUGGCAAGCACAUUCCCUGUGUAUCAUCUGGAUUGUACUACACAUACGACACAACCCGUAGCACAUGUUGCGUACGAGGUAGUUUUUCAGAGUGUCUUGUACAUGACAAACUUGGCAUACUCGCCUUGGUCAUCGAGACAUUAGGUUGAAACCGAAACUAUCAGCAAUUCCAUCGGUUUAUGAUUAUUAUGAUGCUAAAUUCUAACAAUAUUUGGAUUUUGUGUGCACUACAUAUGACACAGGGAAGCUAAUUUUAAGGAUUGCGCACCUUAAAGUUUACGCUGAACCACUCAGACUCCUUGAAUGCAUCAAGUCGAGGUAAGUGGUUUUUCCCAACCAUUGACUAGACUAUUCAGGUAUCCAUGGUUUUCCAAAGACACAUCUACAUGAUGGUCUCAAGUGUGCUUUAUUCACAUGAAAGCAUUGGCUCAUUAUCCUGACAUCGGUUUCAAGCAAAUCGAAUGGAUAGCAUUGCAGAAUUCUCCUUGAGUGCCUUUUUCUAUGGCCCUCAGAUUGAAGUUUAGCAAUUUGUCCUAAUGUCUAGACUCAAAAUGGUUUGGUAGAAUCCCAUCCAAAGAAUUGAGCUCAUUUCAUGAUCUUUACUUUGAAAUUGCAACUUACCAACUUUAUGUUGGAGUCAUGGAGUUUUACACGCUCAUGACCAAACUGCAUAAUUUUAUUCCCCUCUGUCUUUGAUACGUGGAAAUCUACCAAGUAUUUCCUUUCUGCGGUAAUUCGGUUACACACCGAUAUCAUCACCCCGACAUACAUCAUUGGCCCCUCAACAUAUAGUUGGGAUCUAUGUGAGGAAUAACUGUAUUACCGUCAAUACUUCAAGCCCCUCACAUGGGGAGUUAUUCAAGGCCAGUAUGUUGAUUCAAUGAGGAAUAUUUUCAGACAUUAGGGGGAGAAUUCAAGUACCAUAAAGAAUGCCAGGAAAUUAGUGGAAUGUUUAACACAUUUCUGCCUCAUAUCCACGUAAUCAAAGAGUUGAACCAUGUGUUCAGAAGAUUUGCAACAUAUUGCAAAUAACCUGCCAGAUUCAUUUAUUGAUUAUAAAGGUGUCACACAAUCCUACAAUCCUGCAAAAGUAUGCCCGAAAGAGUGGAGGUACCAACAAAAUCCACUACACUCCCCAUUCAAAGCAACAGGGGGAGAUGUAUGGCGGAAGUACAUCAGGAUUCAGCUUCUCGCAAGCAAGGAUAUCAAGGCCUGUGAAUCAGUAAAUGCAAGUCAACUUCACGUUGGCAGACACCUAAUGGGUAGUAUACACCCAGUGGACGGGAAACGUCCACCAACCCAGGUCAUAGUGCACACAAUGACGGGGACAUCGGAAUACCCGACUCAAUCGCAUUGGGAAAUCGCGAGCAGUCACCAUGGGUAACGAUAUUUCCAUCAACUAUAUAUUGAUAUAUAGAUUCUGGAGAAUCAUAUAACCGGAAGUCUACAAUUGUCGACAUACAUUUCUCAACUAGAUUGCAAAAACCUUUUAAAUAAUUCAGAUCCAAAGACCAUGGUCAUGGCAAAGUGUGAACAACACUCGAACUGAACUCAAGCAAAGGGUAUAAUCUAGGUAGAAAUGAUCUUGCUCAAUAAUGGGAAGGUAUUCAUAAGCAAUACCUACACCAGUUUUCUUCUGGAAACAGAAUUGAGAACAGCGAGGUGGUGAAACAAAGAGCAAGUAUUGUAGCACAAGGGUUUACGCGGAUACCUAACUAUUUUCCAGAGGUGGAAUCUCAUUCCGAUAACUUAUAUCAUUGGCAGUACAAAAUCAUCUAUCUCUGCAGCUGAUAGAUGUAGUGAUCACAUAUCCAUGUGGCUCACUAGAUUCAGACAUGUAUGAUUGAUUUCCAAUGGAAUCUCAAUUUUGAAUCGAAAUACAAAAUGCAACAUACAUUGUGUAAAAAUCAGUAAGUCAGCAUAUGACUUAUUGUUGUCGGUACAUUUGGUACAACCGACUUAGUGAGUUCCUUUCCACAAGGAUUACUCCUACAAUGAUGGUUAUCCAUGUUUGUCUGUCAUACACAGUGAUUACUCCUGCAAUGACGAUACAUGUAAUCAUCUAAACGACGGAGUUUAAAUGAAGGAUUUGGGUAAAACCAAGAUACCGCUCGUUACUACAACUUGAGCACCUUCACUCAUACAUUUUGGUACACUAUGUUGUCUAUAUCCAAAAUAUAUUGGAGAAAUUCAUUGUGGACAAGUCUUAUACAUCCAAAACUCUCAUGGUGGUUCAUUCUCUAGACAUAGAGAAAGAUCUAUUUAGACCAAGAGAUGAUGGAAAUAAAAUAUUGGGACUCAACGUUCCUUAAUGCCAUUGGAUCCACCAAACACAAUUGGUUGGUACUCAAGAAUAUCUUUCGAUAUCUCCAAGGCAUCAAACAUCUUGUCCUGGUUUUCAGUUUCACAGAAAUGCGAACACCGAUAUAAUUGGAUACAUCGAUCAGAUCCCACUAUAUCAGAUCGUAGACAAGCUUAGUGUUCCUACUAGGUGUGGUAGCCCUCUUAUGAAGAGUCUUCGAGACAGACCUCAUGGAUACAUCCACCAACCAUUAUCUCAAGGAUAAUGUUUCUUGUGUUGCCCGGAUGCAAACAGGUUACAUAAUAAGCAAUAUCGCUAUAUUGCAUAUCUUGCAAGUCAAAUCAUGCGACUGAUUUGUUCACCAGGUCUCUACCAACUUGUAUGUUCUAGAAAUGUGUUCAUGGAAUUGGUAUAUAACGACUUUGGAAUAUGCAAGAAUCAGGGGAGUAUCUUCCUGAAUUGUUCCUGUUGAAAGCAUCAUAUUAUACUCUUUUUCCCUUCAUGAGUUUACUUUAUAGGUUCUCAUAAAGGUUUUUAAUGAGGUAAUAUCAACACAAGACCAUAUGUCAUAUUUUCUGUUUUCCCCACCGGGGUUUUUAAGAAAGUAUAUUAGACAUAUUUAUUGUCCUCUAAACUCUAUGGGUUUUUCUCAUAUUGAGUUACACAGACAAUAAUCAUUAUAUGUUGCGGCAUUUUCUCCUUAUUUUUCCUACUAGGUUUGAAGGAGUUUUGGCAACAUAUCAAACACCUCUAUCCUCAUUUUUCCCACAGGGUUUUUGGAGGAGACUUUAUCAAGAUGACGUCUGCUACAAGAUCAAGCAUUGAUUAGGGGGAGUGUUACAAUUAAUUAACCAUGUGUUAAUUAUGGGAUUAAUCCCUGCUUGUACUAACCGCAGGCCGUUGUAAAACUGCCGCGUCGGUUCCCGCCGAACAGGCACCUCCUUUGAACAGACACCUUUUCCAGUGGUGUCCUUUCCCUUGUAUAAAUAGUAGAUGGCAUCUAAUAAAGAUGAGACUUGAUUCAUUCAAAACAGGAUGCGCGAGUCCAGCCGCGUACCCCUAGGCUGGUCGCUGCUUGCAGAUGGGGUCACCUUGUCAGCAACGCUGACACACAAUAACCAGAGCAUUUUUCGGGUACCUUGGAUGGCGAGUUAUCUCCAUAUAUGCUACUCUUAAUAUUAAUGAAUCCCACAUCAUCAAGCAGUAACUGUUCCACCACAAGGCGCUCAUAACCAACUCCUAGAAUAAAGAUGAGCUACUAUCAAACAGACAAUCCAUCUAUCCAAGAAGGGAUGAAAUCUAGCAAGUGUCCGAGAACAUUUCAGCCAAUUUACUCUCCUGAGUCCUGUCUGACAAUUAGCAUGACGUGACGGCUAUUAUGAGCACGUGAGAUCACUAGUAGAACGAAACCAGUAGCCAGAACGCGGAGAAAGAAGACGCAGCUUGCAGCAACCACGUGAUGAACGCCAGGACGACCGAAAGCGCGAACUGUCGGCAGGCCAGCUUCGAGUAUGUCUCGCAGAAGUGCACAUCCCACAUGAAGAAAAUUGUCAGGCUCGCGGAGGCACAGGCUCCUGAGAACAUGAAAACCGCCACGA
This 30244-nucleotide long non-coding RNA is filed under the name Triticum aestivum (bread wheat). Its description in RNAcentral is "long non-coding RNA (TAES_LNC000769)". The record is from RNAcentral. Lineage: Eukaryota; Viridiplantae; Streptophyta; Magnoliopsida; Poales; Poaceae.